Long non-coding RNA from Zea mays, 1104 nucleotides. RefSeq lists it as uncharacterized. The record is from RefSeq and is a predicted model, not a curated record. The transcript is spliced from 5 exons. NCBI's taxonomy places the organism in Eukaryota, Viridiplantae, Streptophyta, Magnoliopsida, Poales, Poaceae.
CCCGACCCCCUCCCCUUCUCCCUCGUGCCCAACUCCCAUGUCGCCGCACGAUGCCCACCGGAGAUGAUGCCCCGCUCGCGCACGAUGCCCACCAGAGAUGAUGCCCCGCUCACGCAUGUGCCAAUUAGAGAUGACACUAGGCUAACGCCACCGCAAUGCCCUGCUCCAUGCCCGCCGCAGCAGGUGCCUUGCCCCCCACCCCCACCGCGCGCGCUCUCAUCCUCACCCCGAAUCUUUGCCCUCCCCUCACUCCGGGCCUCCCACGCCGGUCUUCUACUCCUAAAUUGGUGGCUAGAGCUCGUGUGGCCCUCUCAUCAGAUUUGGUGUCUGAGCCCUCGCUAGAUCUCGCACCCUCACCGAAGCCCUCAUUGGAUUCGACGCCCUCACUAGAGGUUGCACCGCGAUGGGAUCUAGGAACCGUUGACGGCCUCGACCACCCACGUGGAUUGUUGCCUCAGCGGAUGAGACGCAGCGCCAAGGGGCCAGAGGAGACGACGUGAUGAACCUCACAUCACAGCUCAUGUCAUGGUUCAUGCCUCUCGUCGCCUCCCGUCGCAGCUUAUGUCGUGGUUCGCCGAGGCCGCCGCCACGCUGCACGCCAUGAUCAGCGAUGUCGCCUUCGUGAAGCUCGGCAUGGAGUGCUACCCCAAGGAGGCCACCGCUGUUGGGGUCAAGGGAUUCCCCGACGUGGAAAAUAACCGACGACGAGAUCAAUGCCGCCUUCGUCGCUUGCUGCCGCAUCUACCUCAGGUCCGAGUCUGAGCCUGGUAUAUCGCAAGUUCUUCGGCGGGUACUGCAACUGCUCAUACCAUGUCCGGUAACGGUGCAAAGGCAAAUGGGGCAUCAUCACAUAUCUAGGUCGUAUUUUCGACAGACAGAUAUAAAACAGAGUGGGAAUGCCUCGAUUGAUAUCAUGUCCAAGUUCUUCAAGCUGAUGGUGGUUCUACAAUUAAUGAAUGAUUUGAACCGAAGUGUUCAAGAUGCCGCUAUCUCUUGUAUUGAGGUUAGUUAAUUCCAUAUUUGAUAUUGUCUGUGUAUGCCUACUUCAGCCGACAUUGUGUUUUUUCUAGACCCAUGGUGGCUGGUAUGAUCUCUAUUUAUAUU